Octodon degus (degu) is the source of this 1716-nucleotide long non-coding RNA. RefSeq lists it as uncharacterized. Lineage: Eukaryota; Metazoa; Chordata; Mammalia; Rodentia; Octodontidae. The record is from RefSeq and is a predicted model, not a curated record. The transcript is spliced from 3 exons.
CGGUAGAGGCCUCCCUUCCGAGAAGGCGGCUCGGACGUCGAGGGCUGGGGCUCCGCUGCCCGGCUUGUCCUCCUGGCGCCGUCCCGGCGCGGCCGGGCCCAGCGCGGCCCUUGCCCACCUGCUCUCCUCCCCCUGCAGGCGGCGGCACCCGACUUCUGAGGCUUCUAAUGUGAGGAAAAACACGGAAUGACAAGUGUGGGAAAGAGCGAGCACUAAAUUACUGUCAGAAAAAUAAACGGAGUAGCACAGUGGUGCUCAGUGAUUUACGGGGGCAAUUAGUCACCACCCCAUGGCGCUGCUGAGGACAGCAAGGCAGCAGGCACGUCAGGCCCACGAGGAAGAAGAGACUUUGCGCUGCUCUACAGACAACUUUUCAAACAACGAACAACAAGCACUUCAGCAUAUUAGGCUCCAUGUCUUCAGUCUGGUUGGAGAAUGUGCCCCAACAUGUGCUACCUUUGGUCUCCAGUCAAAUGAGCAGGAGGCAGAACCAUAAUGAUGAGCUUGAUACCCAGCCUGGUGAACCAUUCAUUUGAACACCGGAUUUCUGCUGAAGAGGCUCACAAGGAAGAGAAUCCUCAGAUUUCUCUUGCUACUCUUCUGUUACUAGGCUUUGUUCCCCUUGAAUUCUGUAAGCAUACAGUUUUAAAAACAAGUAACAACAAACUCUAAGAUGUGACAUAGAGUUGUACAUUUGCACCUGAAGAGGCACUGGUUUUCUACUUUUCUAACAAAAACAGCAAACCUGACCAGGGAAGGGAGACAGAUGUGUUUCUCUACAACAGCAUGGGCCUAUGAAAUUGUUCACAUCUGAUGCAGAUACCAGAAAUAAGGGCCGGGGAGAUGGCUCAGUGGAACAAGUGUGUACCUGGAAAGCACAAUGGCCUGAGUUCAAUCCCCAGUUCCGCAAAUAAAUAAGUAAAUAAUAAGAUAUCAGAGAUAAUUCAACAUGGAAACUUAACCAAAAUUAUUUUCUAUCCAUGAAUAAAGUACAUUUUAAAGUGCAUGAAGUAUGCUUAGAUUUCUCUUUUUUCUAAAGUCACAUUGUAGUUUCUGGCAGAGGAACAUACUGGGAGAACUCCUGACAUUUAAAAAAACAUUCAAGAUAUGACAUUAUAAAAAAUAUCCCUAUAUGGAGGGAGCUUUUUAUAUACAUGUUAUUUUUGUUUAAAAAUUAUGUGCUAGUGAAGGAUGAAAAUGACCUUGGCUUUUAUAAUUAUUUAUUGAUAAAAAUGAUAGGCUUUAAUGUUUGGAUUCAAAUCUUUAUUAGUCAUGCAAAUUUCAUUUCAAAGAAAAGAUUUAGAUUGCAGCUUGAAAAUAGGAGGCUGGGGCUUGCUACGUGCUCCUGUGUCUGUUCAGAAUAUUUAUGCAAUAUUCAGACUUGGCUAUAAUAUAUAAUUCUUAGCUAUUAUUUCAGUUGCAACAAUAAUUUUUAGAUUAAUGAUUAUAGUUUUGGUAAGGCAUACAGGAGAAGUUAUAUAUUCAUGCUUGAAAGGAGGGUCAUUAAAUAUUCAUUAUUACCCCUCAAAUUAGUUGUCAUGCUCUAUGUAACAGUUACCCAUUAUCAUUUCACUAGUUUAGAUUCAGUAAUAAGUGAAUAGCUCCUAGCAGUAAAGGAAUCUGGGGGUGGUAGAUGAGGAACAGGGAGGGAAAUGAUUUUAAAAUCCAUUUGACAUUUAUGUUGACAAGUUAUUUAAAGGAGUUACUGUGUUGUCA